GGGUGAGAAUCUAUUGGGUCUACAAGAUGAUGAUGAAGAUGACGAUGAUUAUUUGCAUGUAUUAAGUGAUGCAGGUGAAGAUGGUUCUCCGAUCCCAAGAAGACAUCAAGAUGCUUCUCCGAUUCCUAGAAGGCGUCGGCGUUUGACUCGGUCAAGGUCUGAUGAUCAGUCAUGAAAGAUGAUGGCAAUUUUCUGGUAAUUCUCUGGUUUCUUGACUCAAAUUUUCUACUGGAAUUGAAUUACCGAUAGCCAUCUGCUGACUUAUUGGCAUCUUUACUAUUAAUGUACCAGUAAUUUGCAGAAACUGCCAGCAGAAUCAUUAUGGUGAUUAAGUAUCUGGGUGUCUGCUAACAGUCUGCCAGGGAUGAUGGUUAAGCAAAGAAAGAUUUGUUCAACGAUUAUAAAGGGCAGAUUCUGUUUCAACUUUGUUGGUU
This 434-nucleotide unclassified non-coding RNA is filed under the name Hevea brasiliensis (rubber tree). Lineage: Eukaryota; Viridiplantae; Streptophyta; Magnoliopsida; Malpighiales; Euphorbiaceae. The record is from RNAcentral.